This 6622-nucleotide long non-coding RNA is filed under the name Xyrichtys novacula (pearly razorfish). The record is from RNAcentral. Lineage: Eukaryota; Metazoa; Chordata; Actinopteri; Labriformes; Labridae.
UUUUUGUUCAAGGAGGAAGUUUAUUUCUUUACAAAACAAGAGCGCAGACUCAGAAAAGAGCUCAGACAGAGGGCAGGAAGGAAAAUCUACACCACAACAUUCAACCACUUAGAAAAUAUAGAGGACCUCUGUUCACGUACCGAAACACACGAUCUGCACACCAUCUACACCGUAAAAAAAGACCAGCCCAGCCAGACGUUGGGAAUGCAAUGAAGAGGCCAAAACGAGUGAAACAGUCCAGGUAGAUUUAAACUCUGUAGAGACAAUGAGAGCGUUUCUUUAUCUGUACUUAAGUUUAACUUUUAAUUUGUGUUUCCUGUCUUUAAGAGACUUUACCGUAAAAGUCAAAUUUUAAGUUGGGAAACAAUAAAAGUUUUUUUUAUUUUUUAUAAGUUUAAAAUAUUUUGGAGGAUUUGUGUUUGAUUAAAGUUAAAGUCCCUCUUUAACAUUUUUAAAGAUUUUUAACCAUUUUGUUUAUUUUCUCUCUUUUCUUUUGAGAGCAAGAAAAUAAAACUCAGAAAUCAGAUUCAUUUUUUAGCCCAAAAAAAAUUCAAGAAAGAAAUUCAAGCGUGAGCAAACAUUCAAACAGUAUUUAACACUAUUUUUUAGUGUAUGUUACUGUUAUCAGCAGGUAACGAUAACGCUGCAGAGAGAAAGACGUGUGACUUUAACGUCCCCCAAAAACGAUGAACUCUUUCAAAACCACGACACAGAAGAAUAGCAGAGAAAACAAGACGCACUCUUCAUUUAGAUUUUAAGAUUUACGCUGCAAAUAAAAGACUUAACAGUUUGAGGACGUUAAACCAAAUUAUCGGCGCAGAGAGUGUGUUUGAGAACGCCAGCGUGGAGUAUAGAGAACGCUGUUUACGCAUUUCAGGAGAUUUUAAUAUAUUUCAGGUGAUUUAGAAUAUAUUUUUAAAACAUACAUCAGGUGAUUUUAAACCUACUCCUUUUGAUAUUAAUUAUUUUUCAGGUGAUUUUAACCAUUUGAGGUGAUUUUAAAUCUGCACCCUUUGAUUUGAAUGAUAUAUCAGGUGAUUUUAAUUAUAUUUCAGGUGAUUUGAAACAUAUUUUAGGUGAUUUUUAACCUACUCCUUUUGAUUUUAAACCUAUGCCAGGUGAUUUUAAACAUAUUUCAAGUGAUUUUAAUUAUAUUUUAGGUGAUAUUAAUCAUAUUACUGGUGAUUCUAAAAAUAUUGUAAGUGUUUUUAAACCUACUUCCUUUGAUUUUAAUUUCAUUUUAGGUGGUUUUAAUUAUCUGUAUUGGAGACUGGUGCCUGCGCAGAUCAGUUUGACAGACCUUUAAACAGACACCUGCACAGGAAUCUAGUUCAGUAUUCCACUCAUGAGCGAGGGUGGAUUUUUCCUUCGAGCGCUUGGUGUGAACAAAAGAAAACAACAGGAAUGAAAGAGUUGAGGGGAAAGCAGCAGCUCAAAGGCAGAGUUCAGCUCCAAAGCAGCUGCAGUCCAUGAAACUCAACACAGAGAAAAGAGGAAGGGAAACCAGAAACAAACAAACAAACAAACAAGACACCAGUCCCCACUCCAUUAAAGGGUAGAAAACAGCAGAGACGACUGCUGGAGCUUCUAAUCCUAUGUAAACAGGCAUAGUGUAAGGCAAGGAGGAAGAGGAGGAGGAGGAGGAGGAGGAGGGAGAGAGGCUGCAGUGAGGGAUGAAGGUGUGGGAGGAAGACGAUGAAGAGGAGGAGGAAAGUGAUCAGGAUGAGUAAGCAGAGAGAGGUGGACAGGCGAAGAGGAGGAGGAGGAAGACGAUGAACAGCAGGAUGUAGAUGGCUAAGAAGCAGACGGCAGAGUUAAAGGGAUCAGACGAAGGCUCAGAGGAUCAAACUGCUGCAGGAACCUGAAGGAGGAAGAGACGGAUCCGUCCUCUUGUGACCAUUCAAAUCUGUCUGUGGCUAAAAUGAGGAGGUCACUUUAAAAUCUGUUUCAGCCCGAUGGACUUUAUGGGGUUCUCUUUGAGGUCAAACUGAAGGUAUCAGAAUCAGAUCUUUCAAAGCUUCAUUAGGAGACAUCAUGAAAACCUGACAACUCCGGGUCUUUCUGCAUCUGUCUUACAUCGUUUAUGGGUUUACAGUGAAUCGGCUCUGAAGCGUCCCUAAUAAAGUGACCCUCUCUGUAUCAGUAAAACUGGCCUACUCCUUAUCAUAUUUUAAAAUCAGCUCCUGAUUUAUAAAUAAAGAAACAAACAUCAGCGCUGACUCGAACAGUUAAAGUUUAAGAAAAUAAAAAGUUGUUUUUGGACCUUAAAGACGUUUCUAAAUCUUUCUAAAUCAAUAUCAAACAUUUAACAGGAGAAUCUCUGAAGGUUAAUUAACUUUUGAAUCUCUCUCACCUGAUUAAAAAGAAAAACACUUCAGAGAAUAAAUCUAUAAUAAUAUCUAUGUUUCAGAUCAGUAAAUAAGAGUGAAAUGACGACAGGACGGGGACUCUGUGAUCCUCCUCCUCCUCCUCCUCCUUGGUGUGUUUGGGAUUACUGUUGUGGACUGGCUCUCUGAAAACCUCCUGCUCCUUAUGAAGUCUUUUGAUGUUUCCUGCAUCUCUCUCUGCUGCGUUUACUACAGGAGCUUAAUUGAUGUCUCAUCUUCUCAUUCCCUUCUCGUCUCUUGCCGCUCUCUCAUCUUUAUCUUGAUGGAUUAGCUACAUUUCUUCCUGUCUCCUCUCCCCGUCGUCUCAUGGAUUUAGAAAGAAUGAGACUCGAAGAGGAGAAACAAAUUGGAAAAGUGUGUUCUCUGAGAUUUAUUUCUUUUCUCUCUUAUUCAGCAGGACAGCUGCAGCUCGUCCGUCUCUGUCCUGUUUCUGUCUAUUCCUGUGUGCUCUUUCAGCAGCUGAUAAUUACAGCCCUCACUGUUGUUUCGGGGGAAACACGCUCCAUUAACACACAGCCCAGCCAUUCAGAUGAAGGACUAAUGGAGCUGUGAGAGCUGGGGUGAACUGAUCAGCACCUGUUGACGAGAAACCAAAGCCAUAAAGCUGCAGAGGAGGAGGGGGGAUGAAUAAAUGUGGCAGCAAAAGCAGCUGAUAUGUAAAAGCCGCUGCAGGAAACUCAGGUUCACCUGGAGCGAAAAUUUAAGGAGACUGUGGAUAGACGAAGAUCGACCGCUUUACAGCAGCUCCUCAGUCUCCAAACGGCAGAGAAGUCAUCGAAGCAUUUAUAGCAUCAAUGACAAAACGACUUCAAACUUCUGAAGAAAUCAUCAAAAGAGAAAUCUGUUUCCUGCUGAGCGACGAGGUUAACCCCCAAUUUUCACCGCAACCGAAAUGGCAGCGAUCCAAAACAGCAGCGAUCCGGAACGAUUGUCGCCGUCCACCAAUUCCUACCGGAUUCGUUAGUGAGGCGAAUUUCAUGACGGACAGCAGAAAUUGCAAGAACUCACAAGAACUUGCGGAUUCAGGUUCAAUCACGCUAUAACGAGUUGUCUCUACAAAGACAGACACAUAGACAUAUAAGCAGUAGAUUGUGUCCUUCCAGAGGAGAAAAUCUACUUCUAGACUUCAAGAAUCAGCAUCUCCUCAUCCAUGGUGUCAUCGAGGUAAAAUGACGUCUAAAAACCUUUCACUUGUUCAUCUCCACCCAUUUGCAUGGUGUGAAAUACGAUCCGCCUGAAACACGGAGUGAUUUAUUUUGAAAAGAAGCUGGAUGUUUUAUUUUGUGUCUGUGCCUGACUUCCUUUCCAGCACGUGUUAAUCUGUGCUGAAUUUAUCAUGCAUGCUCUGGCGUCCGGAAAAAAUAGAACUCUGGAAAUUGACACGUUAACUUGAAUUGUUAUGAUCGGUGGGUACGGCCUUUUCGUAGCCGUUCAGGGUGCGGUGGAAAUUGGGGGUUAGACUGAGUUUGUCUGAUAAAGGUUAAUACCAUCAUCUCAAACUUCAUUCUGUUACAUGUUUCUCUUCAAAGUUCUUAUAGAGGCAGAAAGACCAAAACCAGGACUGGAUGGUCCUGAUCUUCAGGGCAUUAAAAACAGACAGGACUCUGUAGUGGAAAUCACCGCAUUGAAAGGUCAACUGGACUUAGUUGAGAUGUUUCACCAAAUGUCUCAACUAAGUCCAGUUGUCCUUUCAACUAAGAAUUGGAAAUCAUAGAUGCUGCAUCGCUUCAAAAACCAUCGACUGUGAACUCAGUUCAUCACUGCAUCCACUAAUGAGAUUCAAACUGAUCCAUGAAAAAGGAGACCAGAUAAAACCAGAACGACCAGACUUCUCUGUUCAUGGUUCACUCCAGUGUUCUCAGACGGUUGACUUAAAGCCUUCAAUGUUUUCACUCCAUCCAAACUCUGUUAGUGAACCUUCUCCACAGUCCCUCAGACUGUUUCUGCUUCAUAAUAAAGAUGUUCAAACCUUUGGGGUCCUCACAGUCUUACAGCCCUAAAGUUCCUCAUUUCCCCUGAAAUAACGCACAUUUCUUUCCCUCCUAUUGCAGCUGACAGCGGAGUAAUGAGAGUUUUAGAAGAAGAAAAAGAGCGGAGAAGAUAACAGACAGAGUGAGAUGUCUUCCUCUCGAGGAGCCUCUUUUCCUGCUCUUUCUGUCUUUAUCUUCUUCUCUUCUUCCUCACAUACACUCUUCGGUGUGUUUCACCUGUCAGGCCUGCAGAGCCAAACCAAAUUUGGAAAAAGGGGACAGAGUUUGAGGAGCGAAGGCGGCGUGAGGACAGAAAAGUGAAGGCGAGGGAGAUAAAGAGAAUGAAGUUGAGUUUGAGCGACAGAGUGGGACGAUAAAGGUGAAGAAAUGGGGGGGAGGGCUGAAGUGGAUGGAGGGUUUGUUUCGGCAGUGAGCUGCUGAGUAAGUGUGUGUGUGAGUGUAGUUACUGCCGCAUUAUGUUUUAUUUAGCAGAGUGUGUGUUAGUGUGCCCCUACAAGAUGUGCACAUGAAUACAAAGCAGUGCUGUAGAUGUAGUUAUACUUUAUACUCUAUAAGGUGUGUGUGUGUGUGUGUGUGUGUGUGUGUGUGUGCACUUGUAUCUUUCUGAGGACAAAUCAGGUGAAAGUUUAACAAAGUUCCAACAAAGUUUCUGAUUGAUUGAAUCUUUUAUGACGGUUCUGGGGGUCGAGUUCUUCUUUCGGGCCAAGGUCUGACUUCAUGACUGGAGCAGGAUUCAGCAGACCCAGGUCCAGAGUGAAUCUGGGAUGCCUCAAAACCUGCAGACAGGAAUCUUAUUUGAGGACCUACAGUACACAUGGACCAGGUCUAUGAAAUGGGGGGGGGGUGACUAAACAAGAGAGUAACAGCUGUUAGCAUAUCUGCCUGUCAUCUAGCCCCGCCCCCUUUGUCCUCCAGUGGUUUGGUUAAGUCACAGCUUUAUGGUUGACCUCAUCACCAUUGUGACAGUAUAUCUGGACUCUAGAGUUCACUGUGAUGCUGUCUUUGUUGAUCCGAUUCCUUGGACCCGGGUUAGGUCUAGGACCUGCUGAGUGUUACUCUCCAAGGGUGACCCAAAAACUGUGUUAGACCUGUUUCCAUGUAAAAACCAGGACCAGGUUAAAAAAUGUCAGUGUGUGUGUUUGUGUGUGUGUGUGUGUGUGUGCGUGCGUGCGUGCGUGCAUGUGUAUAGACUUUACAUUCUCAGUGUAACAGGAUCUUUCCCUCAAACACUGUCUGUGUGUGGGUUCACAUGAACUCCGGGGACCAGAUCUGAAACAGAUAACAGUCUUAAUAAAGGAUCCGGUUGGUUUUGGUAGACCACCAUCUCUUCAUUUGCGUCAUGCUGUGAUCAUUUCUGAAGGUACGAGCAUGGACCAGGAGCUGUUCAGACCUUCACAGCAGGUCCGAAUGGAUCAUGAAUCUAGAUCACCAGAAAACCUGACCAGUGAGGAUGACUGAAGAGCCGGACCCACAUGGACCCAGGAUCAGAACUGAAUGGAUUUAGGUUUACAGAGUCACUCCAAAGAACUCAUGGACAGGCAGCUGUGAGGAGAUGGACUGCUUUUGGAGGAGGACUCUGAGGGUCAGGUGUUUGUUACACAUCAGGAUGGAGACUACAACUGUGUCUUUCUUUAACUCACCUAAGCCCCACUUCAGCUCCCCCUCAGCCCCGCCUCUUAGCUUUGGGUUACCUUGAUGAAAAGUUGGGAGAGUUGAUAUUUCCACUUCGGCACAUUUGUGGUUUUUGUCCAAAUCUAAACAAGCCGAGAUAUUGUCCUGCAUUUUUACAGAAAUCCUGAUGAGUCAAAGCUGAUUUGUUGACAGCAGAGAAUCAGAGUUUAGAGAAAUCACAAGAUCGUCAGAAACAAAGAGAGCGAUUAAAACUGUCAGAGAGACGAGGCUGAUUAUGUAGAGGACUUUGAUAGAUCUGGACUGUUUUGUACUCCAGCUCUGAUGCCUUUCAGGGCGCCACAGGAUCCACGGCAUUCCAGAUCUCUGAUAAGUCCUCAGAAAAGAAAAACCCAACUUUCUGUAACCGUGAGAAAAACCCACUUCAUGGUGACUGUAGAGAUCCCAGAUCUACCCUCUAUCUGAUCUCAAAGACCGUCUCUCAGAGAAACCCUCCUCCUGCUCCAGAUCCUGAUCCUGCUCCUGAUCAUGAUCCUGAUUCUGUUACUGAUCCUGUAGAUGUUCCUCCUUCAGGCGGCUCUGUCACUCUGCAGAGAGGACCCCUCUUAGACUCCC